GCCGGGUGUGGUGGUGCGUGCCUGUAAUCCCAGCUACUCAGGAGGCUGAGGCAGGAGAAUUGCUUGAACCCAGGAGGCAGAGGUUGCAGUGAGCCAAGAUCAUGCCACUGCACUCCAGCCUGGGUGACAGAGCAAGAGUCUGUCUCAA
Molecule: signal recognition particle RNA, 148 nt
Filed under: Nomascus leucogenys (northern white-cheeked gibbon)
Lineage: Eukaryota; Metazoa; Chordata; Mammalia; Primates; Hylobatidae
Description: Metazoan signal recognition particle RNA
Rfam family: Metazoan signal recognition particle RNA
About the family: The signal recognition particle (SRP) is a universally conserved ribonucleoprotein. It is involved in the co-translational targeting of proteins to membranes.
Source: Rfam by way of RNAcentral